ACUUCAGCCAGAGAGCGGGGUUAGGGCUUCAUUGCCUUGUGUCCUCUGCUCCGGGAGACUUCGGUGAUUCUGCCACUCCCUCCGUCGCUCUGUGACCUGCUGGCAUUGAAUGAUUUAUAGCUAAGACUCCAGGACACCCCUGAAGCCGAGAAAUGAAAUCCCAAGUUGACCGUCAAGUCCAACGCUCGCUGCAGACAUCUAGUGGACCCGGCGCUCGCGGACGGAAGCGGACAGACCUAGUUGGAUCCUUAUCCCACCAAUCUGGCCCACCUUUGCUGCCAUCUAACUCCGCUGACCGGCCCACCGUUCCUCCACUGUUCGCUGGUUGACCCGGGCAGCGGAGAGAGGAGGCGGCACCAACAGAAGGCUUCUGCAAAGCUGAGAGCUCCUUUUACCCAUGGAUCAGGAGCAGAGUUUGCAGCUACACUGUCAGGCUGUGUUUGGAUGUUAGCAGUUAGUUUAGCUUUGCGUCUUCAGAGCAAUUGUUCUUAGCUACUUAAAAAAAGAAAAGAAAAGAAAGGAAAAUUUAAAAUUUUCUUCAUUGAUCAUUCAGGAGCAUGUUUAAUUUCCAUGUAUUUGUACAAUUUCAAAAGUUCACCUUGUUGUUGACUUCUAGUUUUAUUCCAUUGUGGUCAGGAAAGAUACUCGAUAUAAUUUCAAUUAUUUUAAAUUUGUUGAGACUUGUUUUGUGGCCUAACAUAUGGUCUAUUCUGGAGAAUGUUUCUUGUGCUGAUGAAAGAAUGUGUUUUUUGCAUCUGUUGGAUGAAAUGUUCUGUAAAUGUCUCUUUGUUAGUCUAAAAUGCAGUUUUUUGUUUUUUGUUUUUUUAGGAGAGUCUCACUCUGUUGCCCAGGCUGGAGUGCAGUAGCAUGAUCUUGACUCACUGCAACCUCCACCUCCCAGGUUCAAGCAAUUCUCAUGCCUCAGCCUCCCAAGUAGCUGGAAUUACAGAUGCCCACCACCACACCCAGCCAAUUUUUGUAUUUUUAGUAGAGACAGUGUUUUACCAUGCUGGCCAGGCUGGUCUCAAACUCCUGGCCUCAAGGGAUCCGCCUGCCUUGGCCUCCCAAGGUGCUGGUACUAUAGGUGUGAGCCACCGCAUCCAGCCUAAAGUACAGUAUAAAUCUAAUGUUUUGUUUUUGAUCUUCUAUCUAGACAAUCUGUUCAGUGCUGAGAAUGGGGUAUUGAAUUCCCCAGCUAUUGUAUUGGCAUCUAUAUCUCCCUUUAGACCUAAUAAUAUUUGGUUUAUAUUAUAUAUCUCGGUGCUCCAGUGUUGGGUGCAUAUAUAUUUAGAAUUGUUACAUCCUUUUGCUGAAUUGAUCCCUUUAUCAAUAUAUAAUAACCUUCAUCUUUUUUUAAUCACUUUUGAGUUAAAGUCUGUUUUAUCUGAUAUGAGUACAGCUACCCUGCUUGCUUUUGGUUUCUGUUUGCAUGGAAUAUCUUUUUCCACCCUUUCAGUCUAUGUGUGUCUUUACAGAUGAAGUGAGUUUCUUGUAGGCAACCUAUAGUUGGGCCAUGUUUUUUAAUCCAUUCAGCCAGUCUAUAUAUUUUAAGGGGGGAAAUUUAAUCAGUUUACAUUCAAGAUUGUUACUGAUAGGUGAGGGCUUCUGUCAUUUUGUUAAUUAUUUUCUGUUUUUUAAAUAUAUCCUUUGUUCCUUUCUUCCCCUCUUAUUGUUCAUCCUUGUAAUUUGGUGGUUUUCUGUAGUGGUAAAAUUUCUUUUCUCUUUCUCCUUUGUGUAUGUGCUGUACCAGUGAGUUUUAUACUUUUUUCGUGCUUUCUUGAUAGUAACUAUCAUUUCACUUCCAGAUGUGGGACUCUGUUGAGCAUUUCUUGUAAGGCUGGUCUAGUGGUGAUGAAUUCUGUCAGUUUUUGCUUGUCUCAGACAUGUCAGGCAUUUAGCUUCAGGACCUGAUUCUAGUUCCUGCCCUGUGGUGACAAAUAGAAACAGAUCCCUGGUACCCUGCUUAGGUACUAAGCCAGCUAGAUGAGAGCAGAUGAAAAAAUCAAAUCUUUCUAUUUUGCCAGGGAUUAAUUCAUUCCCAGGAUUGUAAAUAUUACAUUUCACUUUUCAUCUCACAGAACUGUGAGGUUAGAAAGUGAGCUGGGCAGCCUGCCCAGAAAGACAUUAUGAUGUAUACAACACAGUGAACUACUAAGGAGGUGUCUUUAAAGGCAUUUACAGCACAUAGCUUUUAGUUUUCCUUUUAAUUUUGCUGCUCUUUAUUUGUAGUAGUAGAUAAGGAAUUAAGAAAGCAAAAAUAAGUGCUUUGACUAGGUCUUUUGCCUUUGAAAAUAGCAUUAGUAAAAUCCUCUCUUCUUUUUUAUUCUUGUAAACUUCACCUAAUUCACUCUGCCCCCCAGCCCAUCUGUGUUCACUUGCUGUUCUUGCUGCUGUCAGUUUUUAAAAGCUUACUCUAAAAUUACAUGAAAGCAACCCCAUUUUGACAAAAUUAGAAUUCUGGUAGCGAUGGCUUACCAUGAGGCUGUUGAGAGAGGCCCAGGAAGACUUUUGUUCUUUUUAUUUCAACCCCUCUCGGUUAAACCUACAAUUUGGUAGGUGAUAUAAUUACCUCCCUUGGACAGGUCUGUAUCUCUGCCUUGGAGAAAUAACAAAGUCCAAAGUACUCUCCUCAUUCAAAGAUGUUGCAAAUGAAAGCUGUUUUGAUCUUCAUGUAUUAGCAUUUGAGUUUUAAUCUUUCUGGGGCUCCUGGCAGAAAAUUUCUUUAAAUUUAUUAUAUAAUUCUAAAAUAUUGGACAUAUUUGUUUCACGCAUCUGUCAAUAUCCUUAUUCUUUUCAUUAAACUCUCCACUGCCCCCAUUAGUCAUCAGGUCCUACUGAUUUUUAACUCCUAAGUAUUUCUCAAAUCUGUCUCCUCAGUGUGUAUUGUUGGUUAUAUAACUCCAUCUCCAUUGUCACUGUGCUGCUUUAGAGUAUCUUUUCUUGUCUAGAUCAGUGCCUGGCUUAUAUUAUGAGCUUCGAAAAGUUGGAUCAAUGAAUGAAUGAUUCAUAAUCUGGACAAGUGCACUCUAACACUUGACUGAAAAACAAAAUCUUAGAUCUAUCUUCCAUGUAAAAGCAUCUAUCUAAAAUGCAAAUCUUACUUUGAUAAUCUCCAGCUUAAUAGCUUAGAUGGCUCCCAGGCAUCCCCAAAACCAUCUCUCAAUUCACUGAUCAAAAAAAUAAAACUUAAAAAUUUUAAAACUAAAAAAAAUUGAACAUUUCAUUGGUCAAAAAACAAACAAAAAAAAGAUCUCUGAGCAUGCCUCAGUCACACCCUGCCCUGCUGUGCACCCCUCUCCAAACCCCAGCCUACAGGGACCACCCAAUAACCUCUUCUUUGCUACAUAACCCUUACCCUCCUUCCUCAAGACUCAUAUAUUCUCCUUAGAAACUUGCCCCCCACUUCCUGGAAACAGUAGAUUCUUUUUUGCUUAUGGUUUUUGUAAUGACAUCAGCCAUUUAGAACUCAUGAUGUGCCCAGGCCCCACUAUCUGCCUUUCCACAGAUCUUGCUCAGACAAUCCAUCAGGAUUUAGUCACAGAUCCAAAGUAAGGAGCCAGAGGGGAGCUUCAGGCUUGGUCUCUUUGGGUUGAAGCUAGAAAACUAAUCUAUGCUGAACACAAAAAAGAAGCUGAGUAAUAGCCAACCUACACAUCCUAGGAAUAACUAUUGUUUUUUUUGCCCCCAGCCAGUCUCUCCGCAGUCCUCUCUCCUUCUUUACAUUUCUUUUAAACACAGUAUGUUAACACAACACUGUGUAAGAACUGGGAUUCAGAAAACCAAGAUAUAGGUCUCCACCAGCUAUGCUAUUGUGUCCAGAAUUGAUGGGUUCUUGGUCUCACUGACUUCAAGAAUGAAGCGGUGGACACUCUCAGUGAGUGUUACAGUUCUUAAGGUGGGGCAUCUGGAGUUGUUUGUUCCUCCCAUCUGGAGUUGUUCAUUCCUCCUGGUGGGUUCAUGGUCUCGCUGGCCUCAGGAGAGAAGCUGCAGACCUUCGCGGUGAGUGUUACAGCUCAUAGAGACGGUGUGGACCCAAAGAGUGAGCAGCAGCAAGAUUUAUUGCAAAGACCGAAAGAACAAAGCUUCCACGGUGUGGAAGGGGACCCCAGCGGGUUGCCACUGCUGGCUCGGGCAGCCUGCUUUUAUUCUCUUAUCCGGCCCCACCCACAUGCUGCUGAUUGGUCCAUUUUACAAAGGGCCAAUUGGUCUGUUUUACGGAGAGCUGAUUGGUCCAUUUUGACACGGUGCUGACUGGUGCAUUUACAAUCCCUGAGCUAGACACAAAAUUCUCCACUUCCCCACUAGAUUAGCUAGAUACAGAGUGUUGAUUGGUGUAUUUACAAACCCUGAGCUAGACACAGAGUGCUGAUUGGUGCAUUUACAAACCUUGAGCUGGAUACAGAGUGCCAAUUGGUGCAUUCACAAUCCCUUAGCUAGACAUAAAGAUUCUCCAAGUCCCCACCAGAUUAACUAGAUACAGAAUGCCAAUUGGUGAAUUCACACUGAGCUAGACACAGGGUGCUGAUUGGUGUAUUUACAAACCUUGAGCUAGAUACAGAGUGCUGAUUGGUGUAUUUACAAUCCCUUAGCUAGACAUAAAGGUUCCCCAAGUCCCCACUAGACUCAGGAGCCCAGCUGGCUUCACCCAGUGGAUCUCGCACAGGGGCCACAGGUGGAGCUGCCUGCCAGUCCCUUGCCAUGCACCCGCCCGCACUCCUCAGCCCUUGGGCUGUUGACGGGACCAGGUGCCAUGGAGCAGGGGGUGGCACUCGUUGGGGAGGCUCAGGCCACACAGGAGCCCAUGGCGCAGUGGGGGAGACUCAGGCAUGGCAGGCUGCAGGUCCCAAGCCCCGCCCCACAGGGAGGCAGCUAAGGUCCGGGGAGAAAUUGAGCACAGCACCAGUGGGCCGGCAUUGCUGGGGGACCCGGUGCACCCUCCACAGCUGCUGGCCCUUGUGCUAAGCAUAUCACUGCCCGGGGCCAGCCAGGCCAGCGGCUGCUCUGAGUGUGGGGCCUGCCUAGCCCACACCCCCCUGGAACUCUCACUGGCCCACAAGUGCCUUGCACAGCCCUGGUUCCCGCCCGUGCCUCUCCCUCCACACCUCUCCGCAAGCUGAGGGAGCCAGUGCCAUCCUCGGCCAGCCAAGAAAGGGGCUCCCACAGUGCAGCAGCAGGCUGAAGCGCUCCUCAAGCGUGGCCAGAGUAGGCGCCGAGGCUGAGGAGGCACCGAGAGUGAGCCAGGGCUGCGAGGGCUGCCAGCACACUGUCACCUUUCACUAUGAGUUAGCCAUGAAAACUCUCUGGGCCUCAUUGACUAAAUCUGUAAAAUCUGACUUUAUGAGGAUUAUAUUCAUUGAACUCUGAGGUCCUGUCCAUUUCUUACACCCUGAUUCAAAGACUGCAUAUAACCUCUAACCCAGAUGUUCUUAACUAGGCUUCUUGUAUGUCUGGGAAGAUGAUGAAAGAACUUCAAGGGGAUCAUGAGCUCUUUAACUUCUAUGUAAAAUCCAAGGCUGGGCAUGGUGGCUCACGCCUGUAAUCCCAGCACUUUGGGAGGCCAUGACAGGUGGAUUACCUGAGCUCAGGAGUUCAAGACCAGCCUGGGCAACGUGGUGAAACCCCAUCUCUAUUAAAAUACAAAAUAAUCAGCCAAGUGUGGUGGCGCGUGCCUGUAGUCCCAGCUACUCAGGAGGUUGAGACAUGAGAAUUGCUUGAAUCCUGGAGGCAGAGGAAGUUGCAGUGAGCUGAGAUUGUGCCACUGCCCUCCAGCCUGGGAGACAAGGAGAAACUCUGUCUGAAUAAAUAAAUAAAUAAAUAAAUAAAUAAAUAAAUUAAUUAAUUAAUUUAAUUCUGUGUAAAAUCCUGUGUGAGCUGGCUGCAUCACCUUGCCCCACAGAGGGGGUUUUCUUAUCUUUUUUUCUCUCUUCCAAGGUAAUGAUAGUCUAUGGUUGCCCUACUAUGUACUCUCUUUUUAUUAUUUUAUUUAUUAUUUUAUUUUUUUAGAGACAGGGUCUCACUCUGUUAUCCAGACUGGAGUGCAGUGGCAUGAUUAUAGCUCACUGCAGCCUUGGUCUCCUGGGUUCAAGCAGUCAUCGCACCUCAGCCUCCUGAGUAGCUAGGAUCACAGGCACACCCCACCAUGCCCAGCUAAUUAAAAAAAUAUUUUUUUUUUAG
This 6174-nucleotide long non-coding RNA is filed under the name Homo sapiens (human). Its description in RNAcentral is "non-protein coding lnc-RBM11-2:9". The record is from RNAcentral. Lineage: Eukaryota; Metazoa; Chordata; Mammalia; Primates; Hominidae.